CCAGGGGGCUGGGUGGCCGCCGUCCCGACUUGUCGGGAGGGAGGAACGUCCGAGCUCCACCGGGCAGGGUGCCGGGUAACACCCGGGCGAGGCGACUCGACGGAAAGUGCCACAGAAACAUACCGCCCCGCUCGCGGGGUAAGGGUGAAAUGGUGCGGUAAGAGCGCACCGGUGCCCUCAGUAAUGCGGGCGUCGUGCAAACCCCACCCGGAGCAAGGCCAAAUAGGGGGACAGUCCGUCCGCUUCGGCGGACGGAGAAGGGGCGCCCGGCCCCGUCCUCGGGUAGGCCGCUUGAGCCCGCCGGUAACGUCGGGCCUAGAUAGAUGGUCACCGGCCCCGAUUCGUCGGGGUUACAGAACUCGGCGUACAGGCCACCUGGCUCC
This 383-nucleotide RNase P RNA is filed under the name Chloroflexota bacterium. RNAcentral describes it as "Chloroflexi bacterium (marine sediment metagenome) RNase P RNA component class A". It matches the Rfam family "Bacterial RNase P class A". From Rfam's summary of the family: Ribonuclease P (RNase P) is a ubiquitous endoribonuclease, found in archaea, bacteria and eukarya as well as chloroplasts and mitochondria. Its best characterised activity is the generation of mature 5'-ends of tRNAs by cleaving the 5'-leader elements of precursor-tRNAs. The record is from RNAcentral. Lineage: Bacteria; Bacillati; Chloroflexota.